This 245-nucleotide ribosomal RNA is filed under the name uncultured archaeon. RNAcentral describes it as "partial 16S ribosomal RNA". It matches the Rfam family "Archaeal small subunit ribosomal RNA", at positions 474 to 718 of the family's 1478-position model. The record is from RNAcentral.
CCCCAGCGCCACGAGUGGGGAUCGCGUUUAUUUGGCCUAAAGCAUCCGUAGCCGGUUAUGUAAAUCUUUUGUGAAAUUGUUUCGCUCAACGGAACAGCGUGCAGAAGACACUGCAUAACUAGGGACUGGGAGGAGUCAGGGGUAUGCAAAGGGGAGCGGUAAAAUGCUAUAAUCCUUUGUAGACCACCUGUGGCGAAGGCGCCUGACUAGAACAGGUCCGACGGUGAGGGAUGAAAGCCAGGGGA